GUCCUCGUAGUAUAACGAAAUACCCUGGUUUUGUAAACCAAAAACGGAGGAAACUACACCUCCCUAGGACU
Molecule: transfer RNA, 71 nt
Filed under: Platanista minor (Indus River dolphin)
Lineage: Eukaryota; Metazoa; Chordata; Mammalia; Artiodactyla; Platanistidae
Also listed under: 1 other name
Description: transfer RNA-Thr
Rfam family: tRNA
About the family: Transfer RNA (tRNA) molecules are approximately 80 nucleotides in length. Their secondary structure includes four short double-helical elements and three loops (D, anti-codon, and T loops).
Source: RNAcentral